This 495-nucleotide ribosomal RNA is filed under the name uncultured bacterium. RNAcentral's name for it is "partial 16S ribosomal RNA". It matches the Rfam family "Bacterial small subunit ribosomal RNA", at positions 29 to 507 of the family's 1533-position model. The record is from RNAcentral.
AUGAACGCUGGCGGCGUGCCUAAUACAUGCAAGUCGAGCGAACGGACGAGAAGCUUGCUUCUCUGAUGUUAGCGGCGGACGGGUGAGUAACACGUGGAUAACCUACCUAUAAGACUGGGAUAACUUCGGGAAACCGGAGCUAAUACCGGAUAAUAUUUUGAACCGCAUGGUUCAAAAGUGAAGACGGUCUUGCUGUCACUUAUAGAUGGAUCCGCGCUGCAUUAGCUAGUUGGUAAGGUAACGGCUUACCAAGGCAACGAUGCAUAGCCGACCUGAGAGGGUGAUCGGCCACACUGGAACUGAGACACGGUCCAGACUCCUACGGGAGGCAGCAGUAGGGAAUCUUCCGCAAUGGGCGAAAGCCUGACGGAGCAACGCCGCGUGAGUGAUGAAGGUCUUCGGAUCGUAAAACUCUGUUAUUAGGGAAGAACAUAUGUGUAAGUAACUGUGCACAUCUUGACGGUACCUAAUCAGAAAGCCACGGCUAACUACGUG